GAUGAAGAACGUAGCGAAAUGCGAUAAGUAAUGUGAAUUGCAGAAUUCAGUGAAUCAUCGAAUCUUUGAACGCACCUUGCACCCUUUGGCAUUCCGAAGGGUAUGCUCGUUUGAGUGUCAUUGUACUCUCACUCUCCCGAUGCUUUUGGAUCGGGAGUGGUGGACUUGGGUGUUGCUGCUUUGCUGUGGCUCGCCUCAAAUGGAGUAGUGCAACUCUUGGUUGGACAUAGUACGGCGUGAUAAGUGUCUUCGCCGGCGCCUCAUUAUAGAGGGUGGCCGAUCGGGAGCUCUGUGCUUCAAACCGUCUUCGGACAACAUCUGACAACUUGACCUCAAAUCGAGUAGGACUACCCGCUGAACUUAAGCAUAUCAAUAAGCGAAGGA
Molecule: unclassified non-coding RNA, 384 nt
Filed under: soil metagenome
Description: partial contains 5.8S ribosomal RNA, internal transcribed spacer 2, and large subunit ribosomal RNA
Rfam family: 5.8S ribosomal RNA (bases 1-120)
Source: RNAcentral